ACCGAUGAAGGCGAUUACCAGGUCAAGCUGCGCAAUCUGCGCCGCUUUAUCGAAGAGGGCGACAAGGCCAAGGUGACUUUGCGUUUCCGCGGCCGCGAAAUGGCCCACCAGGAACUUGGCAUGCGCGUUCUCGAGCGCGUGCGCGACGAUCUCACCGAGUUGUGCCUGGUCGAAGCCAUGCCCAAGCUGGAAGGCCGCCAGAUGGUGAUGGUAUUGGCGCCACGCAAGAAAGUGACUCCCGGCAAACCUGGCGACGCGACCUCCUGAACCUGAACUCUUUCAUUCCCGCGCGCCGGCGGUUUACGGCGCA
Molecule: unclassified non-coding RNA, 310 nt
Filed under: Pollutimonas bauzanensis
Lineage: Bacteria; Pseudomonadati; Pseudomonadota; Betaproteobacteria; Burkholderiales; Alcaligenaceae
Description: Candidimonas bauzanensis Long range pseudoknot
Source: RNAcentral